Molecule: non-coding RNA, 73 nt
Organism: Dimargaris cristalligena
Lineage: Eukaryota; Fungi; Kickxellomycota; Dimargaritomycetes; Dimargaritales; Dimargaritaceae
Source: the annotation of a GenBank genome assembly
GCCCUCUUGGCCAAGCGGCUAAGGCACCUGUCUUGUAAACAGGAGAUCGCUGGUUCAAAUCCGGCAGAGGGCA